Onychostoma macrolepis is the source of this 1248-nucleotide long non-coding RNA. RefSeq lists it as uncharacterized. NCBI's taxonomy places the organism in Eukaryota, Metazoa, Chordata, Actinopteri, Cypriniformes, Cyprinidae. The transcript has 3 exons. The record is from RefSeq and is a predicted model, not a curated record.
AUGUCCGUGCUUUUUUCCUGCGGGUCAUUUAUUUCGUUGUGCAUGCGGAGGAAACAUAAAAUUACGUUUAAUCAACGCAAAGGGAUUUUCUUAAAAUUCACAGUAGAAAUACAACCAAAGAGGCCGUAAAGUGUCUUGAUUGACGGGCCUGCAUGAGGAUCGAGAAUUCUGGGGAGUAAAGAAUGACGUGACGGCGCGUGGUGCCCCCGUUAAUGCCCGUCCAGACACGCGACACGUUCCAAACCCCAAAAUGGUACGAGACGCAUUCCAAGGAAAAACCUCCAGUCUGCGAGAUGACAUCAUAAGUGCUCGGGAGGACCGGGGGUGACCUCAUAAUGACUUCCUCCGGCCGGGCCCCUCUCAACGUUGACGAGACAUCAGAGAGUGUCUGCCCCACCAUUAAAAAAUUUUAUUUUACAAGCUCCACUAGACAGUGGACAGUGAAUGGGGUUUUGUUAAAUUCAGGUUAUGGACAGAGAAGUUUCAUGAAGUGUUCCUUAUAUUUUGCAUCCCGGCUCUCCAUAAUUGGAGUAUGACUUCAGACGGUGGCAUUGAAACUGUCUGGUAAGAAACCCUUCCGAGGCUCUGGAUGUCUAUCAUGGUGUGUCUCGCCCACAAGCCUAUGUGUGUGUGUACCUGUGGUUUUCCUGUCGGUGAAACCCAAUAACAGUCCCAUUGCAUCAUUUUGAAUAGUUUCAGGAGAAAAUGGAUGCAGUCUUGGCAGUCGGCGAGUGUUUCCAUUGCUUUCUCCGAACCGUUUUCCUCCUCUGCUCGCCCUCCCCACAGGGAAAACGGUCAAAACAAACAGCAAAUAGUUGGUGUUGAGAGACUUGGGCACUUGGAAGGCCACAUUCCAGCAUAAGUGGAAAAAAUUAGAGUCCCUGCCGGAUUGCUGCAGCUCCCGGAGGCUUUGAUUCACUAAGUUAAUUUGGGAUAGCCGCUGAGAGCUGUAGGAUUUCGAGCUGGCGAGUAACAAUGUUGUCAGCGGGUUUUCUUCGGAAUGCCCCCACGUCAAGAAAGCUCUGACCUGAAACUCCAGCAGCCCACCUGAACAGCAGCUGUGCCAGAUUUCCAGAUAUACAGAUGGGUUUUUAACUCGAGUAACCCACAAGAAGAAACACGCGCCAUAAGGGAAGGAGGAGGGGAUGCUGGGAUGCUCAGAUCACAUCGAUGUAGCAGCACAGUAUCCAGCAGAGGCUGAACUCCAGAAUCCGUCCCGGGCCAGACUGUUGUCUCACAGAUCUUCAG